RNAcentral lists this ribosomal RNA (429 nucleotides) under uncultured bacterium. Its description in RNAcentral is "bacterial SSU rRNA". It matches the Rfam family "Bacterial small subunit ribosomal RNA", at positions 355 to 776 of the family's 1533-position model. The record is from RNAcentral.
UGGGGAAUAUUGGACAAUGGGGGAAACCCUGAUCCAGCGACGCCGCGUGAAGGAAGAAGGCUUUCGGGUUGUAAACUUCUGUCGUCAGGGGCGAAGGUGCUGCAGUGAACAACUGCAGUACUUGACGGUACCUGAGGAGGAAGCACCGGCUAACUCCGUGCCAGCAGCCGCGGUAAUACGGAGGGUGCAAGCGUUGUUCGGAAUUACUGGGCGUAAAGCGUGUCUCGGCGGAUUAGUAAGUUAGGUGUUAAAGACCCGGGCUCAACUCGGGGACUGCGCUUAAUACUGCUAGUCUUGAGUAACAGAGGGAUGAGUGGAAUUCCUGGUGUAGCAGUGAAAUGCGUAGAUAUCAGGAGGAACACCUGUGGCGAAAGCGACUCAUUGGCUGUUUACUGACGCUCAAGCACGAAAGCGUGGGUAGCAAACAGG